Molecule: non-coding RNA, 680 nt
Organism: Podarcis muralis (Common wall lizard)
Lineage: Eukaryota; Metazoa; Chordata; Lepidosauria; Squamata; Lacertidae
Source: RefSeq, a predicted model, not a curated record
GCUCAGUGGUUUAGACGACGGCGCCUCCCCCAUCCCUGAUAAUACUAAUAAUAAUUCAAUUUAUAUCCCAUCUUUACUCCUGAAGGGAGUGCAGGGCGGCAAACACGUCAAUAAUAAAACAUUUUGCAAAAACAGUUUUAAAAGCAUUUAAAAGUCCAAAAAACAGUUAUAUCGGCUGUGAGUCCUGGAGGUCCUGCUCCCUGCCUUGCUGGCCUUUCCCCACCUACUUGGGAGGGCGGGGCCUGACUGACUCCAACUACAAAAGCAGAGGCUGCAGAAGAGGCCAGAGACCAUCUUGGCUGCUCUUGGUGCUCCAGGUCAUGGAGCCUGAGUUUCCCAAACCACCUCCUGCCGUGAACCACCAUUGGAAGGAUCGCCAACAAAGGUGGCAGCCUCUCUGAUGAGACGCCUCGGAGCAGUUUCGGACACAGUUCGCUCGGCCUCUGCAAAGCUCACCGCCACCUCCUGGAUUAGGCCCAGCUCCUGAAAGAACAGUGAACACUUUUCCCCCUUCUUCUUCGUCACCAAAGGACAGCAAAUUCCCAAAUUGCAAACUGCAACGAAAGCUCCUACGGACAGCCUGAAAAACACUCCUCACCUGUUCUUCCUGUGUCUUGGCCUCUCCUCGCCUCAGCAGAAAAUCCUCUGCAAGAGCCACCGCCCGGCUGCAGGUCUCAGGG